AAACAGACAGACUUUGAGUGCUAAGAUUCAUAGUCGAGAGGGAAACAGCCCAGACUAUUCGUUAAGGUCCUUAAAAAUAAUUAAGUGAAAAAGUUGUAAAAAAUUAAAGACAGUCGGUAGGUAGGCUUGGAAGCAGCCAUCCUUUAAAGAAAGCGUAACAGCUCACUGGUUUAGAUUUUUUGCAACGAAAAUGUAUAGGGGCUAAAAUUAUUUACCGAAACGAUAGAUUUAAUAAAAAUUUUAAAUGGUAGCAGAACGUUCUGUAAAUCAAAGAAGAUUUAUGGCGACAUAGAUUGAAGAAAUCAGAAUUGAAAAUGUUGAUAUGAGUAGCGAUAAACAACGCGAGAAACGUUGUCGCCUUAAGUUCAAGGUUUCCGAGAAAAGGCUAAUCCGUCUCGGGUUAAUCGGUCCCUAAGAAAAAAACGAAAGUUUUAAUUCGAUGGGUAUAUAAAUAAU
RNAcentral lists this ribosomal RNA (456 nucleotides) under Chaetoceros debilis. RNAcentral describes it as "partial Bacterial large subunit ribosomal RNA". It matches the Rfam family "Bacterial large subunit ribosomal RNA", at positions 978 to 1434 of the family's 2925-position model. The record is from RNAcentral. Lineage: Eukaryota; Bacillariophyta; Thalassiosirophyceae; Chaetocerotales; Chaetocerotaceae.